This is an unclassified non-coding RNA of Cebus imitator (Panamanian white-faced capuchin), 335 nucleotides long. Its record names the gene 7SK. It matches the Rfam family "7SK RNA". From Rfam's summary of the family: 7SK was discovered as an abundant small nuclear RNA in the mid-70s but a possible function has only recently been suggested. The record is from Ensembl. NCBI's taxonomy places the organism in Eukaryota, Metazoa, Chordata, Mammalia, Primates, Cebidae.
GGGGGUGAUCUGGCUGUGACACCUGUCACCCCGUUGAUGGCCAGGGUUGAUUCGGUUGAUCUGGCUGGCUAGGUGAGAUUCCCCCCUUACUGCUCCACGUGUAUCCUUCCUGAAUCUGUGUGCUCAGUUGAAAAGGAUGGCCAUCCUGGAUAGAGGAGGACCUGUCUUUGGUCAAGGGUAUACAAGCAUCUGUGUCCCCUUGCUAGAACCUCCAAACAAGCUCUCAAGGUCCAAACAUUGAGUAGAUUAUUAGCAAUGGAUUAGAAAAGGGAGCUGGGAAAGCUGGAAGGAAGCAGACACAAUGAGCUGAUGAACUGAGGUGUGGGCAUUUUACU